UUUACCUGUCCUUGAGGAAUCUGCUUGAAGUAGGUGAAGUACGAGAUGGACUCUACCACUACCAUCCAACCCCAAUCCCUACACCAACGACCAUGCCAGCUAGUCAAUCUAUAAGCCCCGACCUUUGGCACAUGCGUUUUAGUCACCCAUCUGCAUCUCGAUUGUGUCAGAUAUCAUUCACUCCACAUACUACUUUUCCUUCCUCUUCUUCUUGUGAUAUUUGUCAAAGUGUGAAGCAAACCCGUCGUCCUUUCCCAUUAAGUUACACUCGCAGCGCAUUUCCUUUUGAUUUGAUUCACUGUAACAUUUGGGAAGGUGUCCCGUAUCCGUUACAAUAUAUGCCUGUAAAGGCCGAUACGUAUAGGUAAUGGCCAUGACCGUUACGCGAUAUAGGGGUGAAACUAGACAAUUGGUUUUUUAAGACCGUAUUAGCCGUUAUGGUAGUUGUAAAGGCCGUUACGGGGCAUAACGACCGUUAUUCCUGUAAAAGUCGAAAAACGACCACUUUUUUUUCUAUUUAAAAAAAAUAAAAAAUUGCUUUUCUCAUUCCAAAAACUCUCCUAGGUCAUUUUACAACUGAUUUCGACCACUCUUACUAUAGUUUUUAAUAUUAAAACUGUAGAUUGAAGUGAUUUGAGCUAAUAGAACCUCCAAGGGCCUUUUUUUAAAAAAAUAUUGAAAAAGUAGUACUUAUGCCUUUUUCUGAUUUCUAGUUCUAAUGCUUGAUUGUAAUGUGUAAACAUUAGAGACUUAUAACCAUGUUCACAACUUCACUAGACAGCCCGAUAUAACACUCUCAACAAAGGUGGAUCAUUACACUACCAUAAACAUGUUCAAAACAAAAAAUGAAUACAUAUUUGGAAUAUUUACAUUAUUCCGGAUUUUCUAAAUAUUUUUUCAGAAUUUUUCGAACAAAUCUAAAUUUUCAACCGUUACGGGGUCGUAACGAUUGUUACACCCCCGUAUCGGUAAUGGUGAUGACUGUUAUGGCCACCAUUACGGAUACGGAAUACCUUGGUGAGUACCCACACAAUCUCACACUGGUGCACACUAUUUCCUCACCAUCAUUGAUGAUUAUUCGUUCCAAUGUUUAUGUUUACUUUUCAAAAACUUUUGUGCCAUGGUUAGGACUCAAUUCCAAUCUUAGGUUCACCAAAUUCGCACUCACAAUGGUACCAAGUUUCUUUCCAAUUCAAUGUAAGUUUAUUUUUGAGAAAAUGGCAUGCUUCAUCAACAGACUUGUGUUGAAACCCCACUACAGAAUGGAAUCACCGAAUGUAAACAUCAACGCCUCCUUGAGGUUGCUUGAGCUCCGCCAUUUCAAGCAAUCCUACCUUUAUCAUUUUGAGGAGAAUGCGUCUUAAUUGCUACUUAUCUCAUCAAUCGUAUACCUACUCCUAAUCUAGAUGAUAAAACUCCAUACGAAAUGCUUUUUAGUAGUAAACCAUCUUAUGAUCAUCUUUAGGUUUUUGGAUGUUUGUGCUAUGCCCCCACUCUUACUUCUCAUUGACAUAAGUUUGCUCUACCAAACCUUCCUCAUGAACAAAUGAGUCCAGUGGAGGAAGCAGAUCUGGAAAGGCAAGUAGAUGAGCCUAGAAAGCCUAUAGAUCUAAUUUCCAUGUUAGUCUCAUAUAGGUCAUCAAAGUCUGCAGAUGCAUUUACACGUCAUAUCCAUGAUACUCAUGUUGAAAUUAGAAAACAGAUUAGCAUGAGCAAUGAAAUGUACACGAUAUUCGUUGACUCUCAUCACAGGUUCAGAAAGUUUCAGGUAGGUGACUGUAUGAUGGUUCAUAGAAGGCUUAAACGAUGUCCGCAAGAGACCGUUAAGAAACUACAAGCCCGUAGUGUAGAACCUUAUGAGAUAUUAUGUAAUUUGGGACAUGAUGCAUAUAUUGUAGAUCUUCCACCUGACAUGGGUAUUAAAUCUACAUUCAAUGUGGAAGAUCUUGGAUCUUUUAAGGGGCCAAUAUCUAUACCUACUAGCCUUUAUUCGAUCAUCACCCUGAUCCUGAUGAUAUCCCUCCUCACCUGUUCUAUGACCCUUGGCUUAUAUCUGACUAUUCUUCCUAACAUUUAUCUCUUUUGUCAUACACACCUACCAAGUGAGAAAGGAUAGAGGAUAUCUGGGAUGAGCGAUUGGUUUCCACACGACAUGAAGGUUACGUGGAGUACCUCGUCAAGUGGAAGGGCAAACCAAAGUCACACAAUAUGUGGAUCACAGAGGUGAGCUUCAUCAACGAGACUUGAAUAUCCUCGAGCGUCACCGUAGCUUUAUUCCACCGGAGGCAAAAUCUCUUCAAUCGAGGGGAAUUGAUGAGGACACCCGAGCAACAUACUAAAGGACAAAGUCUAAGCCAAUUUCCUUAUGGCUAGACGACCAUUACAUGGGGCUCACUUGACUCAAUUCACAUUCCUAGCCCCCUACGUGCAUAUUCGUGCAUCUUUGAAGACCUCACACUGGGAAAAUGCACGUGGGCUGCAGAUAGGAGCUUGAUAUACACAUCGAACCAUUGGAUCGAGCGGACACGAUGAUUGGAUUGUUGGAUUUCGACCGUGGAUCAUUCUGAUGGUUGGAUCAUCAUUGGACAUCUUGAUCAUGGACCCCCAUGUGCCACGAAAUAGUUUGUUGUUUAGUUUUUUUUACAUGUUUCGUUAUUUUUAUAUAGCUCAUAGUUGUGGUAAGAUUAGGGAGUUGGGAACAACAUUUAAUUCAUUAAGUGUCUUUAUGUUAAGAAUCUUAUUUGAGAGCACCUUUUUGUAAAAGAUCUUUUCUAAGACUAUAAAGGGCUGGACGUCUCCACCCUAGCCAUUAUGUAUGAUAUGAAUGAAAGAGAUUUCUCUCCAUUUGCUUUGAGAUUGAACAAAAAUAAAUAAAUCAUGUGAUUGGAUUGGUGGUGCGAAACUACGGGAAGCGAUUCCCUAGUUAUCUUUUCUACUUUUCUCUCUUCUCAACAAUGUAUCAUCUUCUCUCAUCUUCUUCUUUUCUUCCUUCUCCAUUCUCUUCUUUCUUCUUCUUCUUCUUCGUCUUUUUUUUUUUUUCCUGUUCUUUUAAACCUAACACUAAAUAUCUAAAACUCUAAUCCUAAUCUCUCCAAAACCCUAAUCCUAAAAUUCCUAAAUUUCAAAAUCCCCAAUUUUUCCAAACCCAAAUCCCCAAAAUCUGAAAUCCCUUUACCAAAUCAUAAAUCCCUAAUUCCGAUAACCUAAAACCCAUAUUCCCAAUUCUAGAAAUCCUAAAUCCUUAAACCUAAAAUCUGACAUUCUAAUCCAAAACCUCAACCCUAAUCUUCCGAACCCUAAUUCCUCUAAGCCUAGAUACCCCAAACCCAUUUCCCAUAUUCCCUAGCCUUUAAACAGCUAUAACACAUCAAAAGUCUUACAAGACACAUGAUUUCCAUUGAAUUCAGAUCUAACCCUAUACUAGGACGGAGGGUUCUAUCUCUCAUAGGUCCCGGUUAAUGAAUAAUUUAUGAGAUUCGCAUGGCAGGCCUGCCAUAGUCUUGAAUUUGGACAUGUCAUGAAUACGAAAUUUCUGAAUUUAUAGUAAAUUAGUUUUAUUUUGUUGUUCCAUUGCUCUAGUUAAUCUGUCUUUUAAUUUCACGGUAUCAUAUUAGGUUAGAUCAUUCCACCCUGCAUCAAUGGGAGUUGAACUCUAUGAGAUCUAAUCCCCCAUUGCUCCUCAGCAUAUCAGUAGUGUAAAGCAGUUGUCUCUCACUUGACUGGCGAUAUGUUCGAAUCCUACUCAAGGAGAUUUGAUGAAUUCUUAUCAGUUACUGAUGAAGAGGAUUGGUGGCAAGAAAACGUCGGUGCAGCAUAAGCCAAAGUAGGAGCAGGAGCUCUCGAAGAUGCUAACCAUGCUCCCGAUCUCCUAGGGUCAGACACUGUUCCAGAUACUGUGAUGUUUCAACCUGUGGGAGGGUGGAGCAUGCUGGAUUCUGAUAUCUUGAGAAGCAUGGAGUUUCUUCAGAUUUGAAGGUAGGACAUCUCCCAGUGUCUCCAAGGUGAUGAUGACGGUCCACUUGCAGCCAUGACACAGGUUUAAUAGCUAUACCACAGGAAGUCAAAAACAAACAGACUCUUCUCAGAAAUCGGGUGCAGGCGGAUCGUAAAGAAAUGACAUUGAUUACGAUGAAACCUCUCUCUAGUGGUAGAACUCAUGAGUGUCAAAGUCAUUCUUGCUUAAAAUAAGUUAUUAUGAUUGUUGGUUGAUAUUAGAUGCAUUAUGUUACUUUCUCAAAUGAAAUGUAAAAGAUGGCAUGUGCAGGAAUUGACUACAGCGGUACCCCACGAAGGGGAGGAAUUAUGCAGUGCUUGAGCUGA
Molecule: RNA transcript, 4320 nt
Organism: Magnolia sinica
Lineage: Eukaryota; Viridiplantae; Streptophyta; Magnoliopsida; Magnoliales; Magnoliaceae
Exons: 4
Source: RefSeq, a predicted model, not a curated record